UAAUACGUAGGUGGCGAGCGUUGUCCGGAAUUAUUGGGCGUAAAGCGCGCGCAGGUGGGAUCUUAUGUCUGCUUUAAAAGUGCGGAGCUUAACUCCGUGAUGGGGUGGAAACUGAGAUUCUUGAGUGCCGGAGAGGAAAGCGGAAUUCCCCGUGUAGCGGUGAAAUGCGUAGAUAUGGGGAGGAACACCAGUGGCGAAGGCGGCUUUCUGGACGGUGUCUGACACUGAGGCGCGAAAGCCAGGGGAGCGAACGGG
This 255-nucleotide ribosomal RNA is filed under the name uncultured bacterium. Its description in RNAcentral is "partial 16S ribosomal RNA". It matches the Rfam family "Bacterial small subunit ribosomal RNA", at positions 521 to 776 of the family's 1533-position model. The record is from RNAcentral.